CUGCCCCAUCCUAAGUCCAACACUGAGUACGGUUGUCUGGACAUGGCCCAGGGAGGGUGAAAGGCCCGUGGGGGUGGGGACCACAGUGCUGCUAUGAGUAGACCUUGGAGUCGGGUUGUUUGUGAAUGCAGCCCAAAGUGGGUGGUAAACUCCAUCCAAGGCUAAAUACUGGCACGAGUCCGAUAGCAAACAAGUACCGUGAGGGAAAGUUGAAAAGUACUUUGAAGAGAGAGUAAACAGUACGUGAAACCGUUCAGAGGUAAACGGGUGGAGUUGAACUGCAAGCUCUGAGGAUUCAGCUGGUGAGAGUGGCUUAAUUGGGCAUGGUUAUUACGGUCGUCCGUUCGGGUUCGCUUAACUGCGGGUCUCCGCCUCCGGGUGGGGAUGCUGGGGUACUUGUCAAGUACUACGCGCUCGGACGGUUCACCGGGCCGGCUUGCCAGUGCACUUUCUCGGAGUAGUCACCACGACCGGCGCUGCUGCUGGUCCGCUGGGGUUUAACCUGUCGUGUAGGGUCUUUGUGGCUCUAUGCGGUGGGGAUGGCAGGUAGCUGGUUGGCUUCGCGUCGGCCAGUGUUAUCAGCUAACAUCAGGCGGUACUACUACUGUGUGCAGUGCGUCGGAGACGGCGGCUUGUGGUGUACACGUGUGUUACUUUGCGCUGUCCAUUCCGGGUCUGGUUGUCAUGAAGCCUGCAAAGACAGGUCUGGUAAUGGCUCGGAUUGAUGCGCAGUGUGAGCUGGGGCAUGCGGAACACCUGUAUAAUGAGGGCCAAUAGUCUGUGGUGUAGUGGUAGACUAUCCACCCGACCCGUCUUGAAACACGGACCAAGGAGAGUAACAUGUGCGCAAGUCAAUGGGCGUUACGAAACCCAAAGGCGAAGUGAAAGUGAAUGUUCGGCUUGUCCGGACUGCGGUGAGAUCCUGGCGUUUCUCACGCGUGGUAUCACCAUGCCCUUGAGCGUCAGGCGCAUCACCGGCCCGUCCCAUGGUGUGGGUGUGUUCGGCGGGUGUCCUUCUCGGAGGUGCAUCUCUCGUUGCAUCCCAUCGGGGUGGAGCAUGAGCGUGCAUGUUGAGAC
RNAcentral lists this ribosomal RNA (1077 nucleotides) under Prosorhynchoides apogonis. Its description in RNAcentral is "eukaryotic LSU rRNA". It matches the Rfam family "Eukaryotic large subunit ribosomal RNA", at positions 157 to 815 of the family's 3401-position model. Lineage: Eukaryota; Metazoa; Platyhelminthes; Trematoda. The record is from RNAcentral.